This 85-nucleotide transfer RNA is filed under the name Pectobacterium bacteriophage PM2. It matches the Rfam family "tRNA". From Rfam's summary of the family: Transfer RNA (tRNA) molecules are approximately 80 nucleotides in length. Their secondary structure includes four short double-helical elements and three loops (D, anti-codon, and T loops). Lineage: Duplodnaviria; Heunggongvirae; Uroviricota; Caudoviricetes; Pantevenvirales; Straboviridae. The record is from Rfam by way of RNAcentral.
CCGGAUGUGGUGGUAUUGGCAGUACACACGGGAUUUAAAAUCCCACAGAGGUUUCCUCUUACGAGUUCGAAUCUCGUCAUCCGGA